UAUAUAUAUUCAAAUUCGAUAGUGUAAUAUACCGGAUUUUUAAUAUAAAAAUAAAUAUAAUAAAUAUAAAUAAAAAUAGUAUAAGAUACUAUUUUUAUUGGACUUGAAGAAGUAAAAUAUAAGUCGAAAAUGACUUAUACUGAAAUCGGAACGGAAACAAAAAAUUUAGAAUUUUUUGUAAGAAACGGGGCUGAUAUUUUAACAGAAAAUUCACAGUGCCAGAAAAUUAUAAAAACUUGGGAAUAUGUCAGAAUUAUUUUUAUCAGGCUAGAUUUAAAGUUUCAUGUCAUUUUGACACCCGGAAAGUGGAAAAUAAAAUCCGACUGCUAUCUGCCAGAGAUUUUAGUUCGGUAGAGCUUUCGGUGACCAGAAAUUGUCCAAACUGGAAAGUUAAGAUAUUUUUCUUUUAUUUAACUUAAAUUGAGCCUGACUGUCAAAUUUGAGCAAAAACGGACAUUCAGAAGGGCUCCGGCGAAAGGUAUCAGAUUUUGAGCUGCUAACUGGAAUUGUGUUGAUGUGAGGGGCUUUGUAAAAAAAGGGUUUUUUUCCCCUUUUCUUCCUCCUUCCCAGCCGAACACACCACACACAACACGCACACACACACGCAUGGUGAGGGAGAGAGAAACCCUCCCUUUCUCUCUCUAAAUAUAUCUCUCAUCUAUCUAGAU
Molecule: long non-coding RNA, 668 nt
Filed under: Ananas comosus (pineapple)
Lineage: Eukaryota; Viridiplantae; Streptophyta; Magnoliopsida; Poales; Bromeliaceae
Description: long non-coding RNA (ACOM_LNC003798)
Source: RNAcentral